UGGGGAAUUUUGGACAAUGGGCGAAAGCCUGAUCCAGCAAUGCCGCGUGUGUGAAGAAGGCCUUCGGGUUGUAAAGCACUUUUGUCCGGAAAGAAAUCCUUGGCUCUAAUACAGUCGGGGGAUGACGGUACCGGAAGAAUAAGCACCGGCUAACUACGUGCCAGCAGCCGCGGUAAUACGUAGGGUGCAAGCGUUAAUCGGAAUUACUGGGCGUAAAGCGUGCGCAGGCGGUUUGCUAAGACCGAUGUGAAAUCCCCGGGCUCAACCUGGGAACUGCAUUGGUGACUGGCAGGCUAGAGUAUGGCAGAGGGGGGUAGAAUUCCACGUGUAGCAGUGAAAUGCGUAGAGAUGUGGAGGAAUACCGAUGGCGAAGGCAGCCCCCUGGGCCAAUACUGACGCUCAUGCACGAAAAGCGUGGGGAGCAAAACAGGAUUAGAUACCCUGGUAGUCCACGCCCUAAACGAUGUCAACUAGUUGUUGGGGAUUCAUUUCCUUAGUAACGUAGCUAACGCGUGAAGUUGACCGCCUGGGGAGUACGGUCGCAAGAUUAAAACUUAAAUGAAUUGACGGGGUCAUAGCUG
RNAcentral lists this ribosomal RNA (581 nucleotides) under uncultured bacterium. Its description in RNAcentral is "partial 16S ribosomal RNA". It matches the Rfam family "Bacterial small subunit ribosomal RNA", at positions 355 to 932 of the family's 1533-position model. The record is from RNAcentral.